RNAcentral lists this ribosomal RNA (801 nucleotides) under uncultured Rubrobacter sp. Its description in RNAcentral is "bacterial SSU rRNA". It matches the Rfam family "Bacterial small subunit ribosomal RNA", at positions 8 to 796 of the family's 1533-position model. Lineage: Bacteria; Bacillati; Actinomycetota; Rubrobacteria; Rubrobacterales; Rubrobacteraceae. The record is from RNAcentral.
AGAGUUUGAUCCUGGCUCAGGACGAACGCUGACGGUGUGCUUUAGACAUGCAAGUCGAACGAGAAAGCCCUUCGGGGUGAGUACAGUGGCGAACGGGUGAGUAACACGUGGGCAAUCUGCCCCUCGCAGGGGGACAACCGGGGGAAACCCCGGCUAAUACCCCGUACGCUUACGGAGCCGCAUGGCCCCGUAAGGAGAGGUAGCUUCGGCCAUCCGGCGAGGGAUGAGCCCGCGGUACAUUAGCUAGUUGGUGAGGUAACGGCUCACCAAGGCGACGAUGUAUAGCUGGUCUGAGAGGAUGAUCAGCCACACUGGGACUGAGACACGGCCCAGACUCCUACGGGAGGCAGCAGUCGGGAAUCUUGCGCAAUGGGCGAAAGCCUGACGCAGCAACACCGUGUGAGCGACGAAGGCCUUCGGGUCGUAAAGCUCUGUUGUUGGGGACGAAGGGUUAGGGGUUAAUAGCCCCGAGCCUGACGGUACCCUUCGAGGAAGCCCCGGCUAACUACGUGCCAGCAGCCGCGGUAAUACGUAGGGGGCGAGCGUUGUCCGGAAUUAUUGGGCGUAAAGAGCGUGUAGGCGGUUCGGUAAGUCUGCCGUGAAAACCCAGGGCUCAACCCUGGGCGUGCGGUGGAUACUGCCGGGCUAGAGGGUGGUAGAGGCGAGUGGAAUUCCCGGUGUAGCGGUGAAAUGCGCAGAUAUCGGGAGGAACACCAGUAGCGAAGGCGGCUCGCUGGGCCACACCUGACGCUGAGACGCGAAAGCGUGGGGAGCAAACAGGAUUAGAUACCCCAGUAGUCC